RNAcentral lists this transfer RNA (97 nucleotides) under Escherichia coli. RNAcentral's name for it is "tRNA-Val". It matches the Rfam family "tRNA". From Rfam's summary of the family: Transfer RNA (tRNA) molecules are approximately 80 nucleotides in length. Their secondary structure includes four short double-helical elements and three loops (D, anti-codon, and T loops). Further hydrogen bonds mediate the characteristic L-shaped molecular structure. tRNAs have two regions of fundamental functional importance: the anti-codon, which is responsible for specific mRNA codon recognition, and the 3' end, to which the tRNAs corresponding amino acid is attached (by aminoacyl-tRNA synthetases). tRNAs cope with the degeneracy of the genetic code in two manners: having more than one tRNA (with a specific anti-codon) for a particular amino acid; and 'wobble' base-pairing, i.e. permitting non-standard base-pairing at the 3rd anti-codon position. The record is from RNAcentral. Lineage: Bacteria; Pseudomonadati; Pseudomonadota; Gammaproteobacteria; Enterobacterales; Enterobacteriaceae.
GGGUGAUUAGCUCAGCUGGGAGAGCACCUCCCUUACAAGGAGGGGGUAUUGACUUUUAAUCAAUUGGUCGCAGGUUCGAAUCCUGCACGACCCACCA